AAGAAGAAGAAGAAGAAGAAGAAGAGGAUGAUGAACUGAAACCCACAGAAUCAAACGAAGAAGGGAGGCUUUAUGUAGGCAAUUUACCCUAUUCUAUGACUUCUUCACAAUUGACCGAGGUUUUCCAGGAGGCUGGUCGUAUAGUGAAUGUCGAGAUUAUUUAUGAUCGUGUCACAGAUAGGAGCAGAGGUUUUGGCUUUGUUACAAUGGCAAGUGGUGAAGAAGCUAAAGAAGCGAUUCGGAUGUUCAAUGGAUCACAAAUUGGAGGCAGAACUGUGAGGGUGAACUUCCCAGAAGUGCCAAAGGGAGGUGAGAGGGAAGUAAUGGCACCAAGGAUUCGGAGCGCCUACAAGGGCUUUAUAGAUACUCCACACAAGAUCUAUGCAGGAAACCUUGGUUGGGGCCUCACAUCUCAAGGUCUUAGAGAUGCUUUUGCCAACCAACCAGGCUUAUUAAGUGCCAAAGUCAUCUAUGAGAGGGACACAGG
RNAcentral lists this unclassified non-coding RNA (487 nucleotides) under Hevea brasiliensis (rubber tree). The record is from RNAcentral. Lineage: Eukaryota; Viridiplantae; Streptophyta; Magnoliopsida; Malpighiales; Euphorbiaceae.